This 2118-nucleotide ribosomal RNA is filed under the name Triticum aestivum (bread wheat). RNAcentral's name for it is "partial small subunit ribosomal RNA". The record is from RNAcentral. Lineage: Eukaryota; Viridiplantae; Streptophyta; Magnoliopsida; Poales; Poaceae.
AUGCCGUCGCCGUCGCCGUCGGGGCCGCCGGUGCUGCCAAUCUCGGAGCACGAGGACGAAAUCGUGGCCGCCGUGGAGGCGAACCCGGUGAUCGUGGUUAUCGGCGAGACCGGCUCCGGCAAGAGCACCCAGCUCUCCCAGAUCCUCCACCGUCGAGGUUACACCCGCCGCGGUGCUAUUGCGGUCACCCAGCCCCGCCGUGUCGCGGCCGUCUCCGUCUCCAGGAGGGUGGCACAAGAGCUCGGUGUCUCAAUUGGGGAAGAAGUUGGUUAUGCUAUUCGGUUUGAAGACCGAACUUCAGAAAAGACUAAGAUCAAGUACCUCACAGAUGGUGUUCUUCUGCGUGAAAGCCUGUCAAAUCCUGAGUUGAAGCAAUACUCAGUAAUUAUCUUGGACGAAGCUCAUGAACGUAGCUUGAACACUGAUAUCCUUUUAGGUUUAAUGAAAAGAUUGAUCAAACAUCGAGCUUCAGAUUUGAAAGUUCUCAUCACUUCGGCGACUCUUGAUGGUUUGAAAGUGUCAAAUUUCUUCUCAGGAUGUCCUGUGUUGAACAUCCCUGGAACUAUAUUCCCUGUGGAGAAGUUUUACAGCACAGAUCGUCCAACAAAUUAUAUUGAAUCUUCUCUCAGAACAGCUAUAGAUAUACAUGUUAAGGAAGCUCCUGGGGAUGUAUUAAUAUUUAUGACAGGAAAGGAUGACAUCGACAAGAUGGUGUCAAAAUUGGAGGAAAGAAUUCAAAAUCUCGAGGAAGGAUCUUGUAUGGAUGCUCUUGUCCUACCACUCCAUGGUUCUUUGCCACCUGAACAGCAGGUUCGGGUGUUCUCUCCAGCACCUCCAAAUUGUCGACGGUUCAUUGUUGCAACAAAUGUAGCUGAAACUUCGUUAACUGUAGAUGGUGUUGUGUUUGUGGUUGAUUGUGGUUAUGUAAAGCAACGUCAGUAUAAUCCGUCAACUGGAAUGUAUUCACUUGAUGUAGUUGAGAUUAGCAGAGUGCAAGCUGACCAGCGAGCUGGACGAGCUGGAAGAACUCGGCCUGGCAAGUGUUAUAGAUUAUACCCAAGUUCCAUCUACCAAAAGGAGUUUCUCGAGGCUACAAUUCCUGAAAUUCAACGAACCUCCCUUGCUGGAAGUGUUCUGUAUCUGAAAUCAUUAAAUCUUCCUGAUAUCGACAUUCUAAAGUUUGAUUUCCUUGACCCACCAUCACGUGAAUCAUUAGAAGAUGCUUUGAGGCAGUUAUACCUCAUUGAUGCAAUUGAUGAAAGUGGGCAAAUAACAGAUGUUGGACGCCUUAUGGCAGAGCUCCCUCUUGACCCUUCGCUUUCAAGGACAUUGAUUGAAGCUAAUGAACUGGGAUGUCUGUCUCAGGCAUUAACUGUUGCUGCAGUCUUGUCUGCUGAAAUCACACUGCGGCAAACUAGAAGCAAGGAGAUGGAAGGAAAGAGAAAACGGCAACAGCUCCCUGAUGGUUCUGGCUGGGGUGACCAUGUACAAUUGCUUCAAAUAUUUGAAAGCUGGGAUCAAGCAGACUAUGAUCCAAGAUGGUGCUCAGAUCAUGAUCUACAGGUACGGGGCAUGAAAUUCAGCAAAGAUGUGAGAAAUCAAUUAAGUCAGAUUAUUCAAAAAAUUGCUAAAGGUCCAACAGAUUUGCAAGCAAGGAGAGGACGGAAGAGUGACCCUGACUACAGAAAAUUGAGGAGAGCACUUUGUGUAGGAUAUGGCAACCAGUUAGCUGAGAGGAUGAUUCAUCAUAAUGGUUACCAUACGGUUGGAUACAGGACACAACUUGUGCAGGUGCAUCCAUCUUCUGUACUGGAAGGUGAUGAAUACGGGAAGCUGCCUGUGUAUGUCGUCUACCACGAACUAAUAAAUACUACCCGCCCUUUCAUGAGAAAUGUUUGUGGGGUCGAGCAGACUUGGGUUAAACCAAUUUUGAAGAAGCUUGAGAAACUGAACAUAAACAAAUUAAGCGGCGGUUCAAGUGCGUUGACAGAUUCCGGACCUCUAGAGGAGAAGCAACCAGGCUCGCCGACAAAAGCUGCAGCUGCUAAGCAAUCUGACGUGGAUAGUAAAAUCCAGGCGGCCCGAGAGCGCUACCUUGCGCGGAAAGGCAAGAAGUGA